UACAGAGGUCUCAAGCGUUGUUCGGAUUCAUUGGGCGUAAAGGGUGCGUAGGCGGCGCGGUAAGUCGGGUGUGAAAUCUCGGAGCUUAACUCCGAAACUGCAUUCGAUACUGCCGUGCUUGAGGACUGGAGAGGAGAGUGGAAUUCCUGGUGUAGCGGUGAAAUGCGCAGAUAUCAGGAAGAACACCCGUGGCGAAGGCGGCUCUCUGGGACGGUACUGACGCUGAGACGCGAAAGCGUGGGGAGCGAACGGG
Molecule: ribosomal RNA, 253 nt
Filed under: uncultured bacterium
Lineage: Bacteria
Description: partial 16S ribosomal RNA
Rfam family: Bacterial small subunit ribosomal RNA
Source: RNAcentral